GGGUUUCAGCCACAGUGUGGGAAUUUACGGGGCGAGCAGCAUGACUUUUAUCUGCAGCGUUGUCGCAAAUUUUGGAUUUAGGAUUUGACUAUGUAAAAAUCACAUCGCUUCCGUACUCUUUAGUUAUGCAUUGACAUUAUAUUUCCUCUGCGAAGAAGCAUCUAAACGCCGGUUAAUGAAGAAACCCAGCUGCUAAAAUCUGAAAGUCCAUCAGAAGCUGGCUGGCAAGGGGAGGGACGGCAGACAUGGCCGAAGCUGAGGAUGAGAGCAGGAACAGCAGCCUGCCGAGAAAGAAACCACCCUGGCUCAGACUGGACAUCCCCAUUGCCCCAAACCCUGUGGAGGAACAUAAUAACUUUCUCCAGCCCGUCAUGUGUAACAGCUUGUACCUGCGGAGUGCCAGUGUACCCACUGAAAACA
Sinocyclocheilus grahami is the source of this 420-nucleotide long non-coding RNA. RefSeq lists it as uncharacterized. NCBI's taxonomy places the organism in Eukaryota, Metazoa, Chordata, Actinopteri, Cypriniformes, Cyprinidae. The transcript is spliced from 3 exons. The record is from RefSeq and is a predicted model, not a curated record.